UACGUAGGGGGCAAGCGUUGUCCGGAAUCAUUGGGCGUAAAGAGCGCGUAGGCGGUCCGAUAAGUCGGUUGUGAAAACUGGGGGCUCAACCCUCAGAGGCCGACCGAUACUGUCGGGCUAGAGUCCGGAAGAGGCGAGUGGAAUUCCUGGUGUAGCGGUGAAAUGCGCAGAUAUCAGGAAGAACACCAAUGGCGAAGGCAGCUCUCUGGGACGGUACUGACGCUGAGACGCGAAAGCGUGGGGAGCGAACAGG
This 253-nucleotide ribosomal RNA is filed under the name uncultured bacterium. Its description in RNAcentral is "partial 16S ribosomal RNA". It matches the Rfam family "Bacterial small subunit ribosomal RNA", at positions 524 to 776 of the family's 1533-position model. The record is from RNAcentral.